This 253-nucleotide ribosomal RNA is filed under the name uncultured bacterium. RNAcentral describes it as "partial 16S ribosomal RNA". It matches the Rfam family "Bacterial small subunit ribosomal RNA", at positions 524 to 776 of the family's 1533-position model. The record is from RNAcentral.
UACGGAGGGUGCGAGCGUUGUCCGGAAUUACUGGGCGUAAAGAGUUCGUAGGCGGUUUGUCGCGUCGUUCGUGAAAACUCGGGGCUUAACUCCAAGCGUGCGGGCGAUACGGGCAGACUUGAGUACUACAGGGGAGACUGGAAUUCCUGGUGUAGCGGUGAAAUGCGCAGAUAUCAGGAGGAACACCGGUGGCGAAGGCGGGUCUCUGGGCAGUAACUGACGCUGAGGAGCGAAAGCGUGGGGAGCGAACAGG